This 775-nucleotide ribosomal RNA is filed under the name uncultured Neocallimastigales. Its description in RNAcentral is "partial large subunit ribosomal RNA". It matches the Rfam family "Eukaryotic large subunit ribosomal RNA", at positions 22 to 628 of the family's 3401-position model. Lineage: Eukaryota; Fungi; Neocallimastigomycota; Neocallimastigomycetes; Neocallimastigales. The record is from RNAcentral.
GUACACGCUGUGACUAGCAUAUCAAUAAGCGGAGGAAAAGAAACUAACAAGGAUUCCCCUAGUAACGGCGAGUGAAGCGGGAAGAGCUCAAAUUUGAAAUCUUAAAGGGUUUCCCUUUACGAAUUGUAGUUUAAAGAAGUGUUUUCUGUUGAGGUUUUGGUAAAAGUUCUUUGGAAUAGGACAUCAUAGAGGGUGAGAAUCCCGUAUUUGACCUUUACUUUCAACUUUGUGAUACACUUUCAAAGAGUCGGAUUGUUUGGGAAUGCAGUCCAAAAUGGGUGGUAAAUUUCAUCUAAAGCUAAAUAUUGGCGAGAGACCGAUAGCGAACAAGUACCGUGAGGGAAAGAUGAAAAGAACUUUGAAAAGAGAGUUAAACAGUACGUGAAAUUGUCAAAAGGGAAGCGUUUGACACCAGUGUUGUUUUUCUGAAAAUCAAUUAAAGAACUGUUUAUGCUAAGCUGUUUAGACUUUAUCAGCUAACUGUUUAGUUUUGAGCUUUUCUUUAAUGCACUUUUCAGUUAACAAGUCAACAUCAAUUUCUUUUGCUGUAAAAAAGCUUGAGGAAGGUGGCUUGAGAUUCGUCUUAAGUGUUUAUAGCCUCUUGCCUAUGCAGUCGGAGAGAUUGAGGUCUGCAGCGUAGAUCCUUCGGGGCUAAAUGCAUUUGUGCUAAGUUAUAGCAUUUUAUAGACUAACUUGUUGACUAUGAUUUGUCUUGUAGCUUACUCGCUUAUGUUAUUUUACCUACGCUUAGGAUGUUGAGUCGUAGAGCACGCAG